RNAcentral lists this small nucleolar RNA (242 nucleotides) under Thermothielavioides terrestris NRRL 8126. Its description in RNAcentral is "Thielavia terrestris NRRL 8126 Small nucleolar RNA snR191". It matches the Rfam family "Small nucleolar RNA snR191". The record is from Rfam by way of RNAcentral. Lineage: Eukaryota; Fungi; Ascomycota; Sordariomycetes; Sordariales; Chaetomiaceae.
CCCCAGGGCUUUCGUCAGGAUCCUUCCGCAUUUUUUAUGCUCCAUGGGAGAUCGUCCGUUACAUCCCUGGGAGAGCGAUUUCCAUCUCCAACGUCCUUGGUCUGGUCUUCAGAUCAGGGAUUGGUCGUCUCCGUUUUGGAGUUCUACCGCCGGAUACCGGAUGUGUUUCAGACGAGUUGAAGGCCGCUACUGUCCGUCUUGGACAGCUCAUGGCGGUCUUCUUAGUGAUGAUUCAUACAUCU